CCUACGGGGGGCAGCAGUGGGGAAUAUUGCGCAAUGGGCGAAAGCCUGACGCAGCGACGCCGCGUGAGGGAUGAAGGUCUUCGGAUCGUAAACCUCUGUCAGCAGGGAAGAACGGUCACUGUGCUAAUCAGCAGUGAAUUGACGGUACCUGCAAAAGAAGCACCGGCUAACUCCGUGCCAGCAGCCGCGGUAAUACGGAGGGUGCGAGCGUUAAUCGGAAUUACUGGGCGUAAGGCGCUCGUAGGCGGUAUGUCAAGUCAAGGGUGAAAUCCCCGCGCUCAACGUGGGAACUGCCUUUGAAAAUGGCAAACUGGAGUGUGUGAGAGGAUAGUGGAAUUCCAGGUGUAGGAGUGAAAGCCGUAGAUAUCUGGAGGAACAUCAGUGGCGAAGGCGACUAUCUGGCACAUAACUGACGCUGAGGAGCGAAAGCGUGGGUAGCAAACAGGAUUAGAUACCCUUGUAGUC
Molecule: ribosomal RNA, 465 nt
Filed under: uncultured bacterium
Lineage: Bacteria
Description: partial 16S ribosomal RNA
Rfam family: Bacterial small subunit ribosomal RNA
Source: RNAcentral